GUCCCUGUAGCGUAAUAGGUUGCGCGUUGGACUUAUAAUUCAAAGGUCUUGGGUUCGAAUCACACCUGGGAUG
Trichonephila inaurata madagascariensis is the source of this 73-nucleotide non-coding RNA. The record is from the annotation of a GenBank genome assembly. NCBI's taxonomy places the organism in Eukaryota, Metazoa, Arthropoda, Arachnida, Araneae, Nephilidae.